CUGAUAAAUAUCUUUUGUUCAGUAGGGAGGUAAAAGUAAUAUUCUCUCAUUUCUUAGGGAUACCCUACAAAAUUAUACUUAUCGGAUCUAGGUCCGAGUUUGUCGAUUUGCAAUCAUUUGACAUAAGUCGGACACCUCCAGACCUUAAAGUAAGUGAAGUUCAACCUACAUCCUGAUCAUAUCUCAUAUGGUAUUUUACUAACUGACUUGCUCGAAACAUUAUUGAGCACAAAACAGACUGCCUCAGGUGCAUAUCUUCA
This 260-nucleotide long non-coding RNA is filed under the name Elaeis guineensis (African oil palm). RNAcentral describes it as "long non-coding RNA (EGUI_LNC023276)". Lineage: Eukaryota; Viridiplantae; Streptophyta; Magnoliopsida; Arecales; Arecaceae. The record is from RNAcentral.